Molecule: ribosomal RNA, 573 nt
Filed under: uncultured bacterium
Lineage: Bacteria
Description: partial 16S ribosomal RNA
Rfam family: Bacterial small subunit ribosomal RNA
Source: RNAcentral
UGGGGAAUUUUGGACAAUGGGCGAAAGCCUGAUCCAGCAAUGCCGCGUGUGUGAAGAAGGCCUUCGGGUUGUAAAGCACUUUUGUCCGGAAAGAAAUCCUUGGCUCUAAUACAGUCGGGGGAUGACGGUACCGGAAGAAUAAGCACCGGCUAACUACGUGCCGGCAGCCACGGUAAUACGUAGGGUGCAAGCGUUAAUCGGAAUUACUGGGCGUAAAGCGUGCGCAGGCGGUUUGCUAAGACCGAUGUGAAAUCCCCGGGCUCAACCUGGGAACUGCAUUGGUGACUGGCAGGCUAGAGUAUGGCAGAGGGGGGUAGAAUUCCACGUGUAGCAGUGAAAUGCGUAGAGAUGUGGAGGAAUACCGAUGGCGAAGGCAGCCCCCUGGACCAAUACUGACGCUCAUGCACGAAAGCGUGGGGAGCAAACAGGAUUAGAUACCCUGGUAGUCCACGCCCUAAACGAUGUCAACUAGUUGUUGGGGAUUCAUUUCCUUAGUAACGUAGCUAACGCGUGAAGUUGACCGCCUGGGGAGUACGGUCGCAAGAUUAAAACUCAAAUGAAUUGACGGGGUCA